GAUGAAGAACGUAGCGAAAUGCGAUAAGUAGUGUGAAUUGCAGAAUUCAGUGAAUCAUCGAAUCUUUGAACGCACAUUGCGCCCCUUGGUAUCCCGAGGGGCAUGCCUGUUCGAGCGUCAUUUCACCACUCAAGCCUGGCUUGGUGUUGGGCGACGUCCCCUUUGGGGACGCGCCUCGAAACGCUCGGCGCCGUGGCACCGGCUUUAAGCGUAGCAGAAUCUUUCGCUUUGGAAGUCGGGGCCCCGUCUGCCGGAAGACCUACUCGCAAGGUUGACCUCGGAUCAGGCAGGGAUACCCGCUGAACUUAAGCAUAUCAAUAAGCGGAGGA
This 329-nucleotide unclassified non-coding RNA is filed under the name soil metagenome. RNAcentral describes it as "partial contains 5.8S ribosomal RNA, internal transcribed spacer 2, and large subunit ribosomal RNA". The stretch from base 1 to 120 matches the Rfam family "5.8S ribosomal RNA", at positions 35 to 154 of the family's 154-position model. The record is from RNAcentral.